GCUGGGCAUGGUGGCGGGCGCCUGUAAUCUCAGAUACUUGGGAGGCCGAGGCAGGAGAAUCCCUUGAACUCGGGAGACAGAGGUUGCAGUGAGCCGAGAUCAUGCCACUGCACUCCAGCCUGGGUGACUGUGAGACUGUCUCAAAAAAAAAAAAAAACCCAAAAAACAUAUAAAUACCCAAUUUAUUUUUUAUUUUUUGAGAUGGAGUUUUGCUAUUGUUGCCCAGGCUGGAAUACAAUGGCAUGAACUCGGCUCACUGCCACCUCUGCCUCCCAGGUUCAAGUGAUUCUCCUGCCUCAG
RNAcentral lists this small RNA (300 nucleotides) under Pongo abelii (Sumatran orangutan). RNAcentral describes it as "Metazoan signal recognition particle RNA (ENSPPYG00000039164.1)". Lineage: Eukaryota; Metazoa; Chordata; Mammalia; Primates; Hominidae. The record is from RNAcentral.